GCUCAAAUUUGAAAUCUGGCCCCCCGCGGGCCCGAGUUGUACUUUGGAGAGGACGCUUCUGGCGCGGCGCCGUCCGAGUUCCCUGGAACGGGACGCCGGAGAGGGUGAGAGCCCCGUACGGGCGGCCGCCUAGCCUCUGCGAAGCUCCUUCGACGAGUCGAGUAGUUUGGGAAUGCUGCUCAAAAUGGGAGGUAAAUUUCUUCUAAAGCUAAAUACCGGCCAGAGACCGAUAGCGCACAAGUAGAGUGAUCGAAAGAUGAAAAGCACUUUGAAAAGAGGGUCAAACAGUACGUGAAAUUGUUGAAAGGGAAGCGCCUGUGGCCAGACUUGCGCCCCGCGGACCACCCGGCGCCUCGCGCGCCGGGGCACGCCAGCGGGGCGCAGGCCAGCAUCGGCUCUCUCGGGGGGACAAAGGCCGCGGGAACGUAGCGCCCUCGCGGCGUAUUAUAGCCCGCGGCGCCAUGCCCCCGGGGGGGCCGAGGACCGCGCUCCGGCAAGGAUGCUGGCGUAAUGGCCACCGGCGACCCGUCUUGAAACACGGACCAAGGAGUCAAGCAUUGGGGCGAGUGUCUGGGUGGCAAGCCCGCACGCGGAAUGAAAGUGAACGCAGGUGGGAGCUUCGGCGCACCACCGACCGAUCCUGAUGUCCUCGGAUGGAUUUGAGUAGGAGCCCCGCCGCU
RNAcentral lists this ribosomal RNA (680 nucleotides) under Harringtonia lauricola. Its description in RNAcentral is "eukaryotic LSU rRNA". It matches the Rfam family "Eukaryotic large subunit ribosomal RNA", at positions 107 to 810 of the family's 3401-position model. The record is from RNAcentral. Lineage: Eukaryota; Fungi; Ascomycota; Sordariomycetes; Ophiostomatales; Ophiostomataceae.